RNAcentral lists this ribosomal RNA (480 nucleotides) under uncultured bacterium. RNAcentral describes it as "bacterial SSU rRNA". It matches the Rfam family "Bacterial small subunit ribosomal RNA", at positions 1000 to 1490 of the family's 1533-position model. The record is from RNAcentral.
UAAGAAAUUAGAGUUUUCGGUUCGGCCGGACGAAACACAGGUGCUGCAUGGCUGUCGUCAGCUCGUGUCGUGAGAUGUUGGGUUAAGUCCCGCAACGAGCGCAACCCUCACUUUUAGUUGCCAUCAUUAAGUUGGGCACUCUGAAAGAACUGCCAGUGAUAAGCUGGAGGAAGGUGGGGAUGACGUCAAGUCCUCAUGGCCCUUACGUGUUGGGCUACACACGUGCUACAAUGGUAUCUACAACAGGAAGCAAGACUGCGAAGUUUAGCAAAUCCCUAAAAGAUACCUCAGUUCGGAUUGCACUCUGCAACUCGAGUGCAUGAAGCUGGAAUUACUAGUAAUCGUGGAUCAGCGUGCCACGGUGAAUGCGUUCCCGGGUCUUGUACACACCGCCCGUCACACCAUGGGAGUUGGUUCUACCUUAAGGCAAGGUUUCAAACCCUUGACCACGGUAUAGUCAGCGACUGGGGUGAAGUCGUA